AUACGGAGGGGGCUAGCGUUGUUCGGAAUUACAGGGCGUAAAGCGCGCGUAGGCGGACCAGUCAGUCAGGGGUGAAAUCCCGGGGCUCAACCCCGGAACUGCCUUUGAUACUGCUGGUCUUGAGUUCGAGAGAGGUGAGUGGAAUUCCGAGUGUAGAGGUGAAAUUCGUAGAUAUUCGGAGGAACACCAGUGGCGAAGGCGGCUCACUGGCUCGAUACUGACGCUGAGGUGCGAAAGCGUGGGGAGCAAACAGGAUUAGAUACCCUAGUAGUCC
This 274-nucleotide ribosomal RNA is filed under the name uncultured bacterium. RNAcentral describes it as "partial 16S ribosomal RNA". It matches the Rfam family "Bacterial small subunit ribosomal RNA", at positions 523 to 796 of the family's 1533-position model. The record is from RNAcentral.